This 492-nucleotide ribosomal RNA is filed under the name uncultured bacterium. RNAcentral describes it as "partial 16S ribosomal RNA". It matches the Rfam family "Bacterial small subunit ribosomal RNA", at positions 29 to 507 of the family's 1533-position model. The record is from RNAcentral.
AGUGAACGCUGGCGGUAGGCCUAACACAUGCAAGUCGAACGGCAGCACAGUAAGAGCUUGCUCUUACGGGUGGCGAGUGGCGGACGGGUGAGGAAUACAUCGGAAUCUACUUUUUCGUGGGGGAUAACGUAGGGAAACUUACGCUAAUACCGCAUACGACCUACGGGUGAAAGCAGGGGAUCUUCGGACCUUGCGCGAUUGAAUGAGCCGAUGUCGGAUUAGCUAGUUGGCGGGGUAAAGGCCCACCAAGGCGACGAUCCGUCGCUGGUCUGAGAGGAUGAACAGCCACACUGGAACUGAGACACGGUCCAGACUCCUACGGGAGGCAGCAGUGGGGAAUAUUGGACAAUGGGCGCAAGCCUGAUGCAGCCAUACCGCGUGGGUGAAGAAGGCCUUCGGGUUGUAAAGUCCUUUUGGUGGGGAAGAAAAGCAGCAGGUUAAUACCUCGCUGUUCUGACGGUACCCAAAGAAUAAGCACCGGCUAACUUCGUG